AAUGAAGCCGCCCAGCUGUGGACCUUACUUCAGUUUUGAAAAGCCACUAGUUUUCUAACAUGAUGACACCAGUUGAUAUCCAUACCAGCAUCAGCUCCACAUCUGGGAACGGGCUUGACACAAGUUAACUUCUGGCAUGAGCUAUCAAGUUGUACCUGACAGGAGGAAAAGUGGGACUCACCCCCUGACCGAAUCUCUCUUCCUCACACUACUCACACCUCUCCUCGUCUUCUCUUAGCAGGGCUGGUCUUUGUAAUACAGUCAAAAAAGGGCCAACUCGAGUGGCUCCAUUGGAGCUGGUGACCAUGGAGUGUGAGACAUUGGAGACAAGUGCCGUCUGCACACUCAUCCAACUCCCCUGAGAGUUAUUCAUUGUUUAUCCACCCAGGAAGACCUACUGAAAUGGACCCUGACUGGAUCCUGAUCUUCGACCCAACCCUAAGGUGGUGUUGACGGCCAGUGGCUCAAGGGCUCUGCCAGUGACUCCUUUCACAGCAAGGUCAUGGUGGCUCUCAUUAAUUAUUUAGUGAUGACACUUCAGGCAUCUGACCCCCACAAGUGCACCCCAACUUUCCUGAUCUCAAAUGGAACACCUACCCUGGAUAUGAAAAGAUGCAGGGGAAAUGCAGCAGGUAACAAGAAUGGCGGUGGGGCCCAUCUUUGGUAGAGAGAGACACGCCUGCUCCUGAGGAAAAUGAAUCAGAGAAACCAUUUUACCUAAGUACUGUGCCAACACUGAGGAUGUAGCCCAAAGACAGAGGGUAUGCCUACCAUGCACAAGGCCCUGGCUUGGAUGGAAGAGAAAAAAAAGACACUAUCCCAGGACUUCAUCUUCUGCUCCUUUGGUGUCUUCACAUUCUCACUGUCCAUGGGAUUUAAAAGCCACUUGACCACUUGUGCUUGCUAGUCCUGAGGCCCAUGUUAUAUGCACCUCAGUCCAGGAGAGACCCCAAGGCAGGGACUUUCCC
RNAcentral lists this long non-coding RNA (968 nucleotides) under Rattus norvegicus (Norway rat). RNAcentral's name for it is "long non-coding RNA NONRATT033752". Lineage: Eukaryota; Metazoa; Chordata; Mammalia; Rodentia; Muridae. The record is from RNAcentral.